AUGGCAAUUGUAAAGCCGUCUGGUGAGCUUCUCAGGCUCCUCACCUUCCUCAUAUGCCUACUCCAUCAUAGCAACGCAGGCUAUGACGUCGAGUCGGUCCUCGGGGCGCGGAGCCUAUUAUCGGCCAAUCUGAAACUUGUAGGUGGGACAACGGAGUUCGGUCCUGAUGUCAAGAGGCUCGACCUAACUGCAAGGCAAAGACGGAUAGCCGACUCCACGUGCGCAUCACCGAUGCCGACCAUCCACGAUGAGAGGUCCCCCAAGACAUCAUCCCCGCGGCCAACGUCAGUGUUAGAGGAUGUUUUGCUCGGAUCGCCAGACAUGGACAAUGCCACCUUGCCGAGCAGCGCCACCAUCUCCAAGGUGUCUUCGGACCUGACCUUCUCCAUCCACACGAAUCCAUUCCGCUACACCGUCUCCCGCCGCUCCACCGGUGACAUCCUCUCCGACACUUCUCCAACCCUCAUCUUCAAGGACCGGUACUUGGAGGUGACGACGGCGCUUCCAGCCGGGCGGGCAUCAUUGUACGGGUUCGGCGAGCACACGAAACGGACGUUCCGGCUCCAGCCCAAUGACACGUUCACGCUGUGGAACGAGGACCUGGAGAGGUCAGACCAACUGGACCGUAACCUCUACGGCUCGCACCCAUUCUACAUGGAUUUCAUCGGCCGCCCUGCCCCCAUGCCAUACUGGUCAUUCGGGUUCCACCAGUGCAGGUAUGGCUACAAGAAUGUGGCUGAUCUGGAGGAGGUGGUCGCCGGCUACGCCAAGGCCAAGAUCCCACUGGAGGGGAUCUGGUCAGACAUCGACUACAUGGACGGCGGCCAGGAUUUCACGCUCGAUCCGAUCAACUUCCCGGCGAGCCAUCUCCGGCCGUUCGUCGACCGGCUCCACAGCAACGGCCAAAAGUAUGUGGUCAUCAUAGACCCAGAGAUCAAAAGACAAGCAACGCCUAACGAGGACUUUUUCCUCAAGAGAAACGGCACCAACGUGGUGGGAAGGGUGUGGCCAGGCGAGGUGUACUUCCCGGACUUCAUCAACCCACGCGCCGUGGAGUACUGGGCGCAGAAGAUCUCCGAGUUCCGGCGAACCAUCCCCGUAGACGGGCUGUGGUGCGACAUGAACGAGCCCUCCAACUUCGGGGCCUGGCAGCCGCUCAAUGCGCUGGACGACCCACCAUACCACAUCAACAAUUCCGGCACGCAUCGUCCCCUCAACAACCAAACCGUGCCGGUCUCCACUGUGCACUACAAUGGCGUGUCCGAGUACGACGCGCACAACCUCUUCGGCCUCUUCGAGGCACGUGCCACGCAUGCCGCACUGCUCAAGGACACGGCACGCCGCCCCUUCAUGCUCAGCCGCUCCACCUUCCCCGGAGCGGGACGGUACGCGGCGCACUGGACCGGCGACAAUUCCGCGCGGUGGGACGAGCUUGCCAACUCCAUCAACACUAUGCUCAGCUUUGGCCUCUUUGGCAUCCCCAUGGUCGGCGCCGACCUAUGCGGCUUCAGGGGUAACACAAGCCAGGAGCUCUGCAGCCGCUGGAUCCAGCUCGGUGCAUUCUACCCGUUCGCGAGGGCGCACAUGGAGAGAACCACCGAACGACGAGAGCUCUAUGUGUGGGAGUCGACGGCGCAGUCGGCGAGGAAAGCGUUCGGGACGCGGUACCGGAUGCUCCCCUACAUGUACACGCUCAUGUACGAGGCGCACACAACAGGGGCGCCCAUCGCCCGCCCGCUCUUCUUCUCCUACCCGCAGGACGCCGACACCUACGGCGUGGACAAGCAGUUCCUGCUCGGGCGCGGCGUGCUUGUAUCUCCGGUGCUACAGCCGGGUGCCACCACCGUCGACGCCUAUUUCCCGGCGGGCCGGUGGUUUAGUCUCUAUGACCACAACUACCCCCUCACCGUCGCCACACGGACCGGCAAGCGUGUUACACUUCAGGCGCCAGUGGACUCGGCUAACAACGACACAGCCAGUGGGGAGCUAUUCUUGGAUGACGGCGAGUCCAUGGAGAUGGGCGGGGUGGGAGGCAAGUGGACCCUGGUGAAAUUUAGCUGCAGCACGGAGGAGAGCAAGGGUAUCAUCACGACCACGGUGAGUUCCCAUGUGGUGCAGAACUCAUACGUGCUGAGUCGGGCGCAGGUCAUCGGCAACAUGGUCUUUAUGGGGCUCCAGUCGCCAGCAAAAGGGUUCACUAUCUAUGUGAACAACGUUGAGCUCAAGGCAGCCCGCACCAAGUCCCGGACGAGUGGAGCGUUUAGCGUCAGUGGCCUGUCGCUGGCCAUUGGAAAGGAGUUCCAGAUCAAGGUCGUCAUGUCCCAUUAA
Molecule: ribosomal RNA, 2328 nt
Filed under: Triticum aestivum (bread wheat)
Lineage: Eukaryota; Viridiplantae; Streptophyta; Magnoliopsida; Poales; Poaceae
Description: partial small subunit ribosomal RNA
Source: RNAcentral